This 74-nucleotide transfer RNA is filed under the name bacterium. Its description in RNAcentral is "tRNA-Gln". It matches the Rfam family "tRNA". From Rfam's summary of the family: Transfer RNA (tRNA) molecules are approximately 80 nucleotides in length. The record is from RNAcentral.
UCCGGGGUCGUCUAACGGCAGGACUGGGGACUUUGGAUCCCCGUAUCCAGGUUCGAAUCCUGGCCCCGGAGCCA